UACGGAGGGUCCGAGCGUUGUCCGGAAUUAUUGGGUUUAAAGGGUACGUAGGCGGAUUAAUAAGUCAGAGCUGAAAUCCUACAGCUUAACUGUAGAACUGGCUUUGAAACUGUUAAUCUUGAGUCAUUUGGAAGUAGAUAGAAUGUGUAGUGUAGCGGUGAAAUGCAUAGAUAUUACACAGAAUACCGAUUGCGAAGGCAGUCUACUACGAAUGUACUGACGCUGAUGGACGAAAGCGUGGGGAGCGAACAGG
RNAcentral lists this ribosomal RNA (253 nucleotides) under uncultured bacterium. RNAcentral describes it as "partial 16S ribosomal RNA". It matches the Rfam family "Bacterial small subunit ribosomal RNA", at positions 524 to 776 of the family's 1533-position model. The record is from RNAcentral.